GAGUGGGGGAUAACGUAGCGAAAGUUGCGCUAAUACCGCACAUUCUGUGAGCAGGAAAGCAGGGGACCGCAAGGCCUUGCGCUCUUUGAGCGGCCGAUGUCAGAUUAGCUAGUUGGUGAGGUAAAGGCUUACCAAGGCGACGAUCUGUAGCGGGUCUGAGAGAUGAUCCGCCACACUGGAACUGAGACACGGUCCAGACUCCUACGGGAGGCAGCAGUGGGGAAUUUUGGACAAUGGGGGCAACCCUGAUCCAGCCAUGCCGCGUGAGUGAAGAAGGCCUUCGGGUUGUAAAGCUCUUUCGGCCGGGAAGAAAUCGCAUGGGCCAAUACCCUGUGUGGAUGACGGUACCGGAAUAAGAAGCACCGGCUAACUACGUGCCAGCAGCCGCGGUAAUACGUAGGGUGCGAGCGUUAAUCGGAAUUACUGGGCGUAAAGCGUGCGCAGGCGGUUUUGUAAGACAGGCGUGAAAUCCCCGGGCUUAACCUGGGAACUGCGUUUGUGACUGCAAGGCUAGAGUACGGCAGAGGGGGGUGGAAUUCCACGUGUAGCAGUGAAAUGCGUAGAGAUGUGGAGGAACACCAAUGGCGAAGGCAGCCCCCUGGGUCGAUACUGACGCUCAUGCACGAAAGCGUGGGUAGCAAACAGGAUUAGAUACCCUGGUAGUCCACGCCCUAAACUAUGUCAACUAGGUGUUGGGUGGGUAAAACCAUUUAGUACCGUAGCUAACGCGUGAAGUUGACCGCCUGGGGAGUACGGCCGCAAGGUUAAAACUCAAAGGAAUUGACGGGGACCCGCACAAGCGGUGGAUGAUGUGGAUUAAUUCGAUGCAACGCGAAAAACCUUACCUACCCUUGACAUUCCAGGAACUUGCCAGAGAUGGCUUGGUGCCCGAAAGGGAGCCUGGACACAGGUGCUGCAUGGCUGUCGUCAGCUCGUGUCGUGAGAUGUUGGGUUAAGUCCCGCAACGAGCGCAACCCUUGUCGUUAAUUGCCAUCAUUUAGUUGGGCACUUUAACGAGACUGCCGGUGACAAACCGGAGGAAGGUGGGGAUGACGUCAAGUCCUCAUGGCCCUUAUGGGUAGGGCUUCACACGUCAUACAAUGGUCGGUACAAAGGGUUGCCAAGCCGCGAGGCGGAGCCAAUCCCAGAAAGCCGAUCGUAGUCCGGAUUGCAGGCUGCAACUCGCCUGCAUGAAGUCGGAAUCGCUAGUAAUCGUGGAUCAGCAUGUCACGGUGAAUACGUUCCCGGGUCUUGUACACACCGCCCGUCACACCAUGGGAGCGGGUUCCGCCAGAAGUAGGUAGCCUAACCGCAAGGGGGGCGCUUACCACGGCGGGGUUCGUGACUGGGGUGAAGUCGUAACAAGGUA
Molecule: ribosomal RNA, 1369 nt
Filed under: metagenome
Description: bacterial SSU rRNA
Rfam family: Bacterial small subunit ribosomal RNA
Source: RNAcentral